Salvelinus sp. IW2-2015 is the source of this 305-nucleotide non-coding RNA. The record is from RefSeq and is a predicted model, not a curated record. NCBI's taxonomy places the organism in Eukaryota, Metazoa, Chordata, Actinopteri, Salmoniformes, Salmonidae.
CAAACCACACGGCAACCUCCCCAGCCAAGUCUCCUAUCCCAGAGGAAGGUCCUCCAGACCAGUACAUCAGAGAAGACUCGCUCAAAGCGUGGAAGAUGGAGCAGAACAGACAGAAGGAGGAGGAACAGGUGAAGAAAGCUAAGAAAGAAAAAGGAGGGAAGGAGCGCGAGCGCGCCGACUCGUCCAAGGAGAACAAGAAAACAACCCCUCCACCACUAAGAAGAGCAGGAGGACGUGAGUAAGACCCCUGACCUGGCUGUGGGACCCCUGGAGAACAGAAGCAAAGCUGCAGUCGCCCCCGACGU